This 737-nucleotide ribosomal RNA is filed under the name uncultured bacterium. RNAcentral's name for it is "bacterial SSU rRNA". It matches the Rfam family "Bacterial small subunit ribosomal RNA", at positions 69 to 788 of the family's 1533-position model. The record is from RNAcentral.
CUUCUUUUUCACCGGAGCUUGCUCCACCGGAAAAAGAGGAGUGGCGAACGGGUGAGUAACACGUGGGUAACCUGCCCAUCAGAAGGGGAUAACACUUGGAAACAGGUGCUAAUACCGUAUAACAAUCAAAACCGCAUGGUUUUGAUUUGAAAGGCGCUUUCGGGUGUCGCUGAUGGAUGGACCCGCGGUGCAUUAGCUAGUUGGUGAGGUAACGGCUCACCAAGGCCACGAUGCAUAGCCGACCUGAGAGGGUGAUCGGCCACAUUGGGACUGAGACACGGCCCAAACUCCUACGGGAGGCAGCAGUAGGGAAUCUUCGGCAAUGGACGAAAGUCUGACCGAGCAACGCCGCGUGAGUGAAGAAGGUUUUCGGAUCGUAAAACUCUGUUGUUAGAGAAGAACAAGGAUGAGAGUAACUGUUCAUCCCUUGACGGUAUCUAACCAGAAAGCCACGGCUAACUACGUGCCAGCAGCCGCGGUAAUACGUAGGUGGCAAGCGUUGUCCGGAUUUACUGGGCGUAAAGCGAGCGCAGGCGGUUUCUUAAGUCUGAUGUGAAAGCCCCCGGCUCAACCGGGGAGGGUCAUUGGAAACUGGGAGACUUGAGUGCAGAAGAGGAGAGUGGAAUUCCAUGUGUAGCGGUGAAAUGCGUAGAUAUAUGGAGGAACCCAGUGGCGAAGCGGCUCUCUGGUCUGAACUGACGCUGAGCUCGAAGCGUGGGAGCAACAGAUAGAUACCU